CCAUUGUUAUAAGUUGAAUUGUGUCCCCCUAAAUUCAUAUGUUGAAGUCCUAACCUCCAGUACCUCAGAAUGUGACCUUCUUUGGAACCAGGGUCUUUACAGAGCCCCAGUGCACGGUUGUAUAUUCUAGUUGUAAGUCCUUCUAGUUCUUCCAUGUGAGCUGCCACCACAGCACGGCAACUGACAGAUGGGUGGUGUGAUUCCGUGACCAAAAAACGAACCUGGACCACCAAAGCGAUUUGCAUGGUAUAAAAUUUCCAUGGAAACCAAUAUGAAGAGCAUAAAAUUCUUAGUAUUUAAAUAAAAUAAGUUGGUAAACAUCCUGUACUGAUGCUACAAAAACAAUGACAAGGAGAACCACAGAUAUUGUGAGUCAUAAAAAUGUUGACUGCAAGUUCCAUUUCUGUAAUGGCAAUACGAGGAGCACACAGACAUUCUCCAGGGAAACUGGUGAAACUUACAAAAAAUUACAGCCAAUUAAGGUCUCUGGAAAUGGUCCUAAGGGCAUACAGCAAAUGAAGUAACAUUUAUUCAAGAAAACCUACUAAAACUCAGUAAGACUAUCAAGCCUGUGGCAUUUGAACUACAAUUCAUUUCCUCUGAGCCCAGUUUGAGGAAACUCCACUCCAGGCGGAUGUGACGAAGAACACAGGGCUCUCUUGUCCUCAAGCUCCCAGUUGAGGGCUACAGUAUAUUCCUGGGAAGUGCAGAGCAUCAGCAUUUCUUAUCCCAUCCACCAACUACCUGUUGUGGGAGCUAAGUUCCUUGAUAGUGUCACCAAGAGAUGUGGGCUUCCUUCUUUUACCCAGCCCCCACUCAUGUGAUGGAGGCUGUAGCUUGGGGCACAGGUGCUGAGAGUAAUGGGACCCUGAUCAUUCUCACCUCAGCUUGUUUGUAAGGUGGAGGGUCCAUUCUAGGAGAGGAAAGCUGAGAAAACCAGACGUUACCCCUCCCCCACAAUACCUAGUGCCCAGUUCCUAAAGCAGGAAUGUCACUCAGAAGUGUGCCAUUUUUCCUGCCCCCAGCUCCGGAGCUGUGGCUCAGAUAUUUUUGCACAGGGGGAAAGGCAAGCCAUAAAACAAAUAGCUCCUAAGCUGUUCCCAAAGAAAUUCACUUUAUUUGUCCAAACCUAAAAGCACUCUCUUUUCAAAUAUAGUGGAGGUUGUGGUGAAAAGCGUAUAAGAGGAGAGUGGUAGCUUUCUUAGAGAUGUAAGCUAAACCAUGGACCGGAGAGUUUACCAGAGAAAACCAGGGAAAUACACAGCCAAGAAGAGCUCUCUUUGGAUCAGAACAAAGCUCAAAUACUGAACUCGAAAACCAUUCUUGUAAACGAGGACAAAAUUAAUUGGAUUGAGAUCCAACUAUAUGCUAUCUACAGGAGACUCAUUUUAGAUUCAAAGACACAAAUAGAUCAAAAGGAAAAAGGAUGGAAAAGAUUUAUCAUGCAAACUGCAGCUAUAAGAAAGCUGGAGCGGCUACACUAAUAUCAGACAAGAUAGGAUUGAGUGAUAAAAAUGGUGAUGGUUGUGCAACUCUGUGAAUAUACUAAACACCCUUGAAUUGUACACUUUAUAAAUGGAUGGAUUGUAUUUUUACUAGGUGCAAAUAAUCCCUCUACAUGCAUUAGGAUUACAUUGAAAAUAUUCAAUAAGAAUAAAAUUAAAGUUAA
This is a long non-coding RNA of Diceros bicornis minor, 1669 nucleotides long. RefSeq lists it as uncharacterized. The transcript is spliced from 3 exons. Lineage: Eukaryota; Metazoa; Chordata; Mammalia; Perissodactyla; Rhinocerotidae. The record is from RefSeq and is a predicted model, not a curated record.